This is a non-coding RNA of Triticum aestivum (bread wheat), 87 nucleotides long. NCBI's taxonomy places the organism in Eukaryota, Viridiplantae, Streptophyta, Magnoliopsida, Poales, Poaceae. The record is from Rfam.
GGGGAGAUGGCCGAGCAGUUCAAUGCAUAGCAUUGGAACUUCUAUGUAGACUUUUGUUUACUGAGGGUUUGAAUCCCUCUCUUUCCA